This is a non-coding RNA of Arachis ipaensis, 281 nucleotides long. The record is from RefSeq and is a predicted model, not a curated record. NCBI's taxonomy places the organism in Eukaryota, Viridiplantae, Streptophyta, Magnoliopsida, Fabales, Fabaceae.
GAAAACUGGAGCUCACCUGGUUGAGAAGACGACCACCACCACCACCCGAGGGAGCAGAUGCUGCUUCACUGGUUCCGACGAAGCGAACGCAGGGGCACGGUGAGAGACCGAGAGAGCGACGAGGUGAGGGGAGAGACGAGAGAGUGACGAGGUGAGGUUGAGGGGCUGCCGACGCCGAGCUCGAGAGAGCAGAGAGACGAGGCUGGCUGGGGUUACCGGGAGGGGGGUGGUUGCACUCACAGUCUCGAUUAGUGGCUUAGGGUUCAUUCAAAUAGUAAGGG